UGGUCCACAGCUGAAGCAUGAGGACCGUCGGGUUGGUGGUUACUGCAACCAGCCAAGGGCUCUUGUGCUCGUCCCAGCAGGUUGUCGUGAAUGAUUGAAUCAUUAAAGUGAGGACAUGGACAACUACUGCAGAGCAGCCACCACUCAGGCAGUGCUGUCCCUCCCUGGUGGGAACCUGCCCAGGAGGCCAUACCCAUGGAAAGAGUACAUGGUGGUUAUCUCAAGGUCAUGUGAGCAGGAAACAACACGGACAACGUGAAUAUUAUGUGAAUGGGAGCUGCUGGUGGGGCUAUCGGAGCUUCCUAGGUCAGGCAGGACACACAGGGAGUCACCCUGCCCCAGAACAAAGCAGGAAGAAGUGAAGAUGGUGCCAAAAAUCCUGGCAAGAAGGUUCAAAGUCUGGCCAGAUCAACCUACCCUUGUCGAGAGAGAGAGAGACACAGUUUGCAGCAAUGCCCAUCUGGAACUCGCCCUCACAGGAUGUCUUGUAGAACCUGCCCUGCUGAGGCUGGAAUUACAAAGCCAUUUGAUGUGUUUUUGCUUGAUGUUUAUGUACUCCUUCAUCUCAGAGCAUCGUGGUCCAUGGAGAAGCUCACAAGAAAAUAACCACAGCAACUGUAAUGAAAUCGCCACCAGCAUCUGGAUCUUCUUGAGGGUGAAGACAAAUGAUAAUGCAGAUGCACAGCCAUAAAAUCAACAGCAGCUUUCCAACAAAAGCCAAAGGACAAUGACUUUGUUGGAGCACCAGCCAUCAGGAAUGUCUUUAAGGGUUAAAGUAGCGAGCUGACAAAAACCUUAAUGUUUUUACAGCACAUAGACUUGUAACAUACAAUACAGGACAAUUCGUUCUAUUGAUGUCUAAAAAUUCUUAAUGGAGAAACAGGCUGUCAAAAUACAGGAUACUUUAUAGGUUAGCUCUUCUCCAUACUUCAUCCUCAGGUAUUUGCCAAGUUAGCAGAGGAUCAGACUUCAAGUCACAUUUAGGCUUCUUUAGAGCAGUUUUUCCACUAAAAGCUUAGCUCGAAGACAUACAUAUUAACAAAAAAAAGAGCCAUUCAUUCUUGUCACACAUUUCGUCCUCGGAACACUUGCAAAUCCUGAAUAUAAUUUUUUUUCUAAUUGAAAGGAAAUAAAACAUCUUUUAUAUAGUCAGACAA
Long non-coding RNA from Pseudopipra pipra, 1157 nucleotides. RefSeq lists it as uncharacterized. The record is from RefSeq and is a predicted model, not a curated record. Lineage: Eukaryota; Metazoa; Chordata; Aves; Passeriformes; Pipridae. The transcript is spliced from 2 exons.